This 206-nucleotide non-coding RNA is filed under the name Halalkalibacter krulwichiae. RNAcentral's name for it is "Bacillus krulwichiae T-box sequence". It matches the Rfam family "T-box leader". Rfam says of the family: Uncharged tRNA acts as the effector for transcription antitermination of genes in the T-box leader family. The record is from RNAcentral. Lineage: Bacteria; Bacillati; Bacillota; Bacilli; Caryophanales; Bacillaceae.
GUGAAAACGUAGAAGGAACAAGUAUGAAGCAGUCCACUUUUAGAGAGGGAUACCCAUGGCUGGAAGGUAUACUAAGUGAAGGGCUUCAGAAAGCUACUCCGGAGUGCAGAUAAUCUCUGCCGUGCGCCGCGUUAAGGCAGUUAAGUGAUAGACAAGUUUGUCUAUAAUUAGGGUGGUACCGCGUGAUGUUAACUCUCGUCCCUUUU